AGCAAAGUGGCACAGCGGAAGCAUGCUGGGCCCAUAACCCAGAGGUCAAUGGCUCGAAACCAUCCUCUGCUA
RNAcentral lists this transfer RNA (72 nucleotides) under Perca fluviatilis (European perch). It matches the Rfam family "tRNA". From Rfam's summary of the family: Transfer RNA (tRNA) molecules are approximately 80 nucleotides in length. The record is from Rfam by way of RNAcentral. Lineage: Eukaryota; Metazoa; Chordata; Actinopteri; Perciformes; Percidae.